AGUGGCAUUGCUGGAUUACAUGAUAGAUGUAUGUUAAACUUUAGAGGAAACUAUCAAACUCUUUUCCAAAGUGGUUUUACCAUUUUACAUUCCUGCCAGUGAU
Molecule: microRNA precursor, 103 nt
Filed under: Marmota monax (woodchuck)
Lineage: Eukaryota; Metazoa; Chordata; Mammalia; Rodentia; Sciuridae
Source: RNAcentral